AUGAUUGCUGCAUUCCUAACUCUGAAAACAUAUGUUGCCACUUGUUUCUGCAGGCCUGUGAAGAACUACAACGACAUUAAUCGCCACUUUGCGGCGGGGGUGUGCGGGGCGGCGGAAGUGCUUGUCGGCCUUGGCCGGCUGCGUGGAGGUGAUGGGCUGUGUUGCUACAGGCGAAAGCCUUGCGGGUGCUUGCUAGCCGGCAACAGCGACGCCUGCGGGUGUCGCUAUCCACUUGAGGGCGUCGUCGUGUUCAUGUGCUUCAUCUACUUCCGGAUCGAGCUCUUCGGGCGAAAGCGGGCAAGGACAUCGUCUCUGUGGCGUUUCUUCCUUGGGGGCGUUGCUUUGAAGGCCGGUGAUCCUCCUCCUUCCCUUGGGCUGGAUGUACUCUGA
Molecule: ribosomal RNA, 390 nt
Filed under: Triticum aestivum (bread wheat)
Lineage: Eukaryota; Viridiplantae; Streptophyta; Magnoliopsida; Poales; Poaceae
Description: partial small subunit ribosomal RNA
Source: RNAcentral